RNAcentral lists this long non-coding RNA (1084 nucleotides) under Apteryx owenii (little spotted kiwi). Its description in RNAcentral is "lncRNA (ENSAOWG00000000333.1)". Lineage: Eukaryota; Metazoa; Chordata; Aves; Apterygiformes; Apterygidae. The record is from RNAcentral.
UUUUCUUUACAUUCGUCGCGUUGACCCGGUAGAUGUCAUGCCGUUACUAAUGGCUCUCCUGAAUCCGCUUGAGAGAUAUAAAAAGUCCUGGAUGGUGUGACAUGUUCCGAGGCUUUGUUUUUUUUCUGUACAAAAAGCCACUUUGUUUUAAUAGCAGCGUGUUAAAGGCCAGAAUUUAAAGGUUGCUGCUUAUUUUACUUUGUAAAAUUCAGCUUCUUCUCAGCUCCUAAUAUGCAGAAACACUUCCAGCCUGCAGGCACAUAAGCGUUGGGCUGUAGUAUCUCAAUGUAGACAAUGUGAUGCUGUGACUGUGCAUGAGACAGAUAAAAAAGGACUGAAAGCUGACCGGAAACAAAAGUAAAACUGAUUGACUACAGUUUUAUUGUUAAAGACGCACAUGCAGGCGAGAAGCUCUGUGUCUGUUGGAAGUGUGGGAAAAUGGUGUGAACUGGCACAGUCCAUCUCUUAAGAAGCGUGUUCAUAUGUGCUGAAUGCGUGAUGGACAGAGAAAACAGGCGAUAUCUUGUGCGUGGGAUGGAAGAGGAUAUAUUUGAUUUUCUUCUGAAUAGCAAGCAUUGAAUCAUCUUUUCUUGUACAAGAGAAGAAACAUUUCUCAUGCACUUGCUGAGACAUUUUAUUUCAACUAAUAUCCGUGUUUGCUAAAACUGUGUACACAAAGUGAGCUGCCUUUUCAAACAUCAUUGGAUUUUUCAAGUUAAAUCUUCAUGCUUAUUGCAUCUGUCACUUCUGGGAUUCACUCCAAGCAAAAGGCAGAGAUUCAGUGUAAUGGCAGUGAAAUGGAAUGCACAGAAGGAUAAAAUAUCAGCUUUCUUUAGUGAUAUAGCGAAGGAGUACGAGAGAUCUACACUCAAUGACUGUGCAUUACAUGCAUCAUGUUAAAGUUUAAUACUAAGAGGUUAAUGACUGCUUCAUAAAAUGGCUCAUUAAAGCACAGUGUUGCAUUUUGAUUGUAAGAGCAUUUAUGUUAUUGUUUUUAAUUUGAUUAUUGAUUCCAAGAAAUAUAAUUAACUUGGAUGCCAGCUUCCUAUUUUGAAGACAUGAGCAAAACACUUCCUGGCCUGAG